UACGGAGGGUGCAAGCGUUAUCCGGAAUGAUUGGGCGUAAAGCGUCCGUAGGUGGUUUUGUAAGUCUGUGGUUAAAGCGUGGGGCUCAACCCCAUAACGGCCAUGGAAACUACAAGACUUGAGUAAAGUAGGGGUAGAGGGAAUUCCCAGUGUAGCGGUGAAAUGCGUAGAGAUUGGGAAGAACACCGGUGGCGAAAGCGCUCUACUGGACUUAAACUGACACUGAGGGACGAAAGCUAGGGUAGCAAAUGGG
Molecule: ribosomal RNA, 253 nt
Filed under: uncultured bacterium
Lineage: Bacteria
Description: partial 16S ribosomal RNA
Rfam family: Bacterial small subunit ribosomal RNA
Source: RNAcentral